GCCGCGCAGAACGCGGAAGAGCCGGGAUUCUUUCCCGGUGCGGAGCAGACCCGCACGGCCCGGGCGCUCGCCGAGCCCUUUCUUGUUUGUUUUUUAAUGACCCUUAUUUUUUUAGUUCUACAAUACAGAAUAUAAAAGGUAGAGAUAAGCAGAUAGGAAAGGAGAACUCUUCCGCCAUCACGUGAGACUUGAACUCCCGUCUCGUCGGGUCCAUAAGUUUGGACGGCGGGCCGUGUCGCCCUCGGCUGGGAGCUCCGUCUUUCAAGCGCGUUCGCCCUCCUGCCCCUCCUAACGGACACUUCCGCACCUAUAAGAUUUUUCCUGGUUAUUGGAACAGACGAUCUUUCAACAAACUAUGUCAUCAUCUAUUCCCUGUAAUCAGCCUAAUAAUAAAGGUCCAGACAGAUGGACUAUUUUUCCUUUCUAUUUACUGAAACAGAGAAGAAUUGAGGACUGAAGCAUGUCAUCACUGUAUCAUUUCAUCCUGAAUGUACGAAAUCCUAACAGCUUAGAAUCAAGCAUAGUUCUUGGCAUACAACAGGAGGAGACUGAUAAUCUGUUGACUGAGUGAAUGAAUGAAAAAAUAAGGAAAUGAAGUUACUUUCUACCACUAAAGAAGCUGCCUGCUGGGAAGGAGACAUGAACACUAAUUUUUAAAUGCCUGCACAGUGAGUCACAAUGGUGCUGUUCUGGACAACCACGAAGCCUUGGCCAUCAUGAACAACAGGCUGGCAGAAACCAGUGGGGACAGGUAAGCUACUUUUCUUGAAAGCAGAAUGUCUCAGACUUUAGCUUUGAAGAGGAAGAGUUGCCAGGACUGGACGAGCACUUUUGAAUUUCCCAUGAUGCCAGACCCAGUGGCUUCCUGGGUUCAGCUGGAGAGCUGCCCCCAGGACCAGAACUUUGGGACAAGCCUGGCCAGCAUGAAAGUUCACCAGAGGUGGUUCCGGUGGU
Molecule: long non-coding RNA, 954 nt
Organism: Manis pentadactyla (Chinese pangolin)
Lineage: Eukaryota; Metazoa; Chordata; Mammalia; Pholidota; Manidae
Exons: 6
Source: RefSeq, a predicted model, not a curated record